UUCUCGAAUGUGAUGUCUCUUGAAUCAUUGGAUUCGUAUCGUAGAAAUGUUGAUGAAUAUCGUCUUUAACGAGUUGUUGAAGGUUCGUCCUGUAAGAUGAUAUUAGAAAUUGUUUGAUUGAGUUGCAAUCUUCGAUGUUGUCCAAUCUUCCUUGAUUAUCUUGUGGAUGUUCAUCUUGGUUUCUAAAAAUCAGCAGGAUUCACAAAGUUAAACCCGGGUACAUGCCCAAUUGAACUGAAAUAUUCCAUCACCUGACCCGUUUGCCCACUGUAAAUCGGGCACCCAUCCGAUAACACCACCACCUUAUCAAACAUCCAGUAUAACCUACUGGAUGGCUGAUGGAUUGUGGUGACCACACUCCUCCCCCCUCGAGCCAGCCCUUUCAAUGUUGCGAUAAUUCGUAGAGCUGUAGUCGAGUCCAACCCCGACGUAGGCUCAUCCAAAAGCAACAAACUCGGGUUAACUAGCAUUUCUUGCCCAAUACUAACCCUUUUUCGCUCCCCACCUGAAACACCCCGAAUAAGUGGCCCACCUACUAUGCUAUCACGACACGUAGUUAAUCCAAGUUCGGUUAUGAUGAUUUCUGCUUGUUGUAUUUUCUCUUCUCGGGUUAGAUUUUUUGGCAGCCUCAAAAGGGCCGCGUAGGAUAAGGUUUCGAUAACAGUUAGGUGUGGAUAUAACACAUCGUCUUGGGCUACAAAACCAGUUUUCCUUUUUAUUGAGUUAGUAAACGGCUGC
This 738-nucleotide long non-coding RNA is filed under the name Helianthus annuus (common sunflower). RNAcentral describes it as "hypothetical non coding rna". The record is from RNAcentral. Lineage: Eukaryota; Viridiplantae; Streptophyta; Magnoliopsida; Asterales; Asteraceae.